CCUGCUCAGCCCCGCCCCGGCGACACCUCCAACCCUGUAACAAUGAUGGUCUGAGAUGUGCUAACAGCCCACGGUUUGAUUGACCUUGUUUUCCUUCCCCGUGACUUCUGUGUUUUCUCUCCCAUCAUGAAGCCGUUUUCUUUAGACGGUUUCCUUUAUCCGAGUAAGAAUUUAAAAAAUAAAUAAUUAAAAAGAGGAGGGCAGGUGGGAGCCACACCCCUCGCUGAUCUUCAGAGGGCGUGUCUAGAUGUCCAACUGUGAGGGAAGUGUGUCAGUGGGAUAUCAUGCAGCACGGUCAAACUCUUAUGCGGUCCCUACGCCGGUCACACACAGGGAACGCCAAUCCAGGGAAGCAAGCUGCGGCUGCCAGGGUACUUGUCAGGGAAAGGUUUCCACUCCGGGGAGGACAACGCCUUGAUAACGACCGCAGCCUCCAGAGUCCGAACGCAGUUUGCUGAGUCCAGGAAGACGCCCAGCCGCCCUGGAAGCAGAGCCGGAAGCAAAGCCGGGAGCAGAGCCAGCAGCCGCCGAGGCAGCGACGCGUCCGACUUUGACAUUUCAGAAAUCCAGUCUGUGUGCUCAGACGUGGAGACCGUCCCACAGACACACAGACCUGCGCCCCGAGCAGGUUCUCGGCCAUCCACAGCCAAGCCUUCUAAAAUCCCCACGCCCCAGAGGAAGUCACCCGCCAGCAAACUAGACAAGUCUUCGAAGAGAUAGUGCAGUUGGCUCCGACCAGCCCUCCCCUGAGCAUUUAUUAUUUAAGUGAAUGAUGUAAAAUACGAUGUAGAAAUUACUGUGAAAUAUUGCAGGAGGCAAGUUUUAAAUUCUGCAGAUGGCCUUAUUUGUGUAUUUG
This 856-nucleotide long non-coding RNA is filed under the name Rattus norvegicus (Norway rat). RNAcentral's name for it is "long non-coding RNA NONRATT029895". Lineage: Eukaryota; Metazoa; Chordata; Mammalia; Rodentia; Muridae. The record is from RNAcentral.